AGUCCCUUCUGCCCUGUGCCUUGGUGCCUGUGACCUGAGCCCCCUGGUUGACUCCUGCACUCAGUCCAACUUGGGCCAAACGACCGCCCCUCCUUCUGGCAGUGGGCUGGACCAGCCGGCCAGCGGGAGCCCCCUUGGCAGAAGCCGGUCGUAAAGGAUCAUAAACUGGGCGGCGUCUGGCUGGGGCGAAGGUCGCUGAGACUGCUCUGUGAACAAGGACAUCUUUGAAGUAGAGGAGAACACAAAUGUCACCGAGCCGCUGGUGGACAUCCACGUCCCGGAGGGCCAGGAGGUGACCCUCGGACCCUUGUCCACCCCCUUUGCAUUUCGGAUCCAGGGAAACCAGCUGUUUCUCAACGUGACUCCUGAUUACGAGGAGAACUCACUGCUUGAGGCUCAGCUGCUGUGUCAGAGCGGAGGCACAUUG
RNAcentral lists this small RNA (427 nucleotides) under Pan troglodytes (chimpanzee). Its description in RNAcentral is "processed transcript". The record is from RNAcentral. Lineage: Eukaryota; Metazoa; Chordata; Mammalia; Primates; Hominidae.